CAGAGCACGAUAACUCGCAGGCACGGGGCCUAGUCCGGAGGAAUGGAGGGUAGAAGAAGAAAUGUAAGUCUCCUUUUUAACUGGUAACCUGUAGCACAGUGUAAAUAGAAGAUUCACCAUGCUAAACCUCAAGCGAUAUGAAGAUGACCAUGCAGAAGGCCAUGAACUAUAUGCUGCAGUGGCAAUAGACAAAUCACAAUAUUUGAACGAAUUGCUGUCACAAGAUUUAUACAAAAAAAUCGAUAACAGUCGGUGUGGAUGGGGUAAUUCAGUGACUCCUCUACAUCUGGCUGCAUCUUUGGGCUCUUUACAGUGUCUUCGGAUCCUCUUGGCUAAUGGAGCUGAAGUGGACAGCCUUGAUGCAAAGGCCCAAACACCUCUCUUUUCUGCAGUGCAUGCUGGCCAUUUUGACUGUGUUGAAGGGUUACUGAAGGCUGGUGCCAACCCUAGUGGGAGUCACUAUAAUAAUAGCACUCCUGUUUUAAUGGCAUCUCGGGAUGGAAAAAAC
This is a non-coding RNA of Pelobates cultripes (western spadefoot toad), 508 nucleotides long. Lineage: Eukaryota; Metazoa; Chordata; Amphibia; Anura; Pelobatidae. The record is from the annotation of a GenBank genome assembly.